GACGAACGCUGGCGGCGUGCUUAACACAUGCAAGUCGAACGGUGAAGCGCCUUCCUUUUUGGUGGGUGUGGAUGAGUGGCGAACGGGUGAGUAACACGUGAGUAACCUGCCCCCUUCUUCUGGAUAACCGCAUGAAAGUGUGGCUAAUACGGGAUAUUCUGGGUCUGUCGCAUGAUGGGUCUGGGAAAGAUAUUGUUUCGGUGGGGGAUGGGCUCGCGGCCUAUCAGCUUGUUGGUGGGGUGAUGGCCUACCAAGGCGGUGACGGGUAGCCGGCCUGAGAGGGUGGACGGUCACACUGGGACUGAGACACGGCACAGACUCCUACGGGAGGCAGCAGUGGGGAAUAUUGCACAAUGGGCGCAAGCCUGAUGCAGCGACGCCGCGUGAGGGAUGGAGGCCUUCGGGUUGUGAACCUCUUUAGCCAGUGAAGCAGGCCUGCCUCGUUUGUGGGUGGGUUGACGGUAGCUGGAUAAGAAGCGCCGGCUAACUACGUG
RNAcentral lists this ribosomal RNA (494 nucleotides) under uncultured bacterium. RNAcentral describes it as "partial 16S ribosomal RNA". It matches the Rfam family "Bacterial small subunit ribosomal RNA", at positions 28 to 507 of the family's 1533-position model. The record is from RNAcentral.